CCUGCCUCAGCCUCCUGAGUUAACAUAUAUUUUUAAAGGCCACUCUGAAUUUUCUAUGGUGAAUGAAUUAGAGGAAGACAAGGCUGGAAUUGGGGGAGUGGUGGAGGAACCAUGCAUAGACUUGGAUAGGCCCCCCAGGGGGAGCUGUGAUCUGCCGGGAAGGAUGACUGUGGCUCGGGUCCUGACAGUGGCUGUGAAGGCUCAGGAAGAAGGGAGUCUAUUUUGGAGGUGGAAAUGACAGAAAUUGCUAAUGAGUUAGAAGUGACUCUUACAUAUCUGAUGAGCAAUUUCUGACUUCGGUUGUUAUAUUUCUGGCUUGGUGUGAUUUUUGGAGAUAGUAAAGGCUGAAGUAGGAACAAAUCGAUGAAAGAAGCAGGGUGUGGAUCAAGGCUUGUAUUUGUGUGCUUUAAGUUUUGGAUGGCAGUGAGUUAUUCUGGUGAGGCUGUCACAGAAAGAGGCUGCAGUGCAGAAGAUGGGUCUGGGCUGAGAAUGCUCUGCAGAGGUUCACACUUGACCUUUGAAAAGCUGAUCAGCCACCCGCAAUUAUUUAUCAUAUCGGCAUUGGUCUCAGGUCUCGAGGGCUCAUCCGAGAGGAAUCUGCUGACCCAUCUCACCCUUUCCAACUGCAGAAGAGUAAAGAGGCAGGAAAUGGGGUGAAAUGGUACUGCUACUGAUCAAUGCUAAUGACCUACACCUGGCUGCAACACUCAUUUUAUUAAAGAAAGAAAAAGCGGGUUUCAGAGCGACUGGGAGCCUCGCUGUAUUAAUCACAUUUGCAUAUUGUGCUCUAUUUCAGAAGACUUCAACACCAUAACUCACAGCAAUCCAUAUUUAUGAUUUGAAAAUUGCUGACUGAAUAAUUAUACAUUAAGUAACUUCUGUUUCCUUGUAUAUUAUUGUUUCUAAUUAGCAAUGGGGGAAAAUAAAGUCAUUAUUAUUUAUGGAUACAGUUUAGGCUCGGCAUUUCCACUGGGUUUACAGUCUUCACAUCAGUCUGCAGCCCCUGCUGGGCUCCUCCGUGCAGCCUCCAGGAGCUGGCCGGCUGGGCCAGGCAGGUUCCAGCCUCCCUCCCCUGCUCCUCCUCUGCUACUCUCCCCUAAGUGCUUGUUCAUUCAGACCACAGGGCUUCCCUAUCCUCAUUCCAUCCUUAUGGCCUUUGUAUAUAGUUUCACGUGCUGUAAGAUGAGAAAGUUCUCAUUCUGAAGUUUAACGCUCCAAAACUGUCACGUGAAACUCUUGCUUAUCACAGUGAAUUAUUCCCGCCUGUGUUUGCCGUUGUUAUUUCAGAUAACUGUUGCUGAAGCAUUUGCUAAAUAGACCUCAUGGCCUUUCUAGCCCCUGCCCUUUAGACGCAUGCACACAUAGUAAACAAUAAGCAUUAAGUAAAACACAGAAUUUAUCUAUUUAAUUGAAAAAAGCAAAGCCAGAUCAGCCGGCCACACAGUGACCAAACCUAGCUGCAGAGGCUCUGCACUGACACAGCAGCCUGCCCCUCGCUUGCCUCUCCAUAGUUGCCCAGUUACAUGGCCUUUCCCUUCCAGCAGAGCCCCUCUGAGCCACCUGGCUGGAAAAUUCCAGUCCAUUUGCCUGUUG
Molecule: long non-coding RNA, 1593 nt
Organism: Callithrix jacchus (white-tufted-ear marmoset)
Lineage: Eukaryota; Metazoa; Chordata; Mammalia; Primates; Cebidae
Source: Ensembl